UAGGCUGUGAUGAGCCAUUAACAUAUAUAAGAGGAUCCUUCUUGCAGUGUUAUCUUCAGUGAAAUAUCUUUGUUACGCUUGGCUUCUGAGCCUC
Small nucleolar RNA from Diospyros lotus (date-plum), 94 nucleotides. RefSeq annotates it as small nucleolar RNA R24. NCBI's taxonomy places the organism in Eukaryota, Viridiplantae, Streptophyta, Magnoliopsida, Ericales, Ebenaceae. The record is from RefSeq and is a predicted model, not a curated record. The transcript has a single exon.